UACGUAGGGGGCAAGCGUUGUCCGGAAUCAUUGGGCGUAAAGCGCGUGUAGGCGGCCAGAAAAGUCCGCUGUGAAAACUCGAGGCUCAACUUCGAGCUGUCGGUGGAAACUUUCUGGCUAGAGUCCGGAAGAGGAGAAUGGAAUUCCUGGUGUAGCGGUGAAAUGCGCAGAUAUCAGGAAGAACACCCGUGGCGAAGGCGGCGCUCUGGGCCGGUACUGACACUGAGGAGCGAAAGCGUGGGUAGCAAACAGG
Molecule: ribosomal RNA, 253 nt
Filed under: uncultured bacterium
Lineage: Bacteria
Description: partial 16S ribosomal RNA
Rfam family: Bacterial small subunit ribosomal RNA
Source: RNAcentral